GACGAACGCUGGCGGCGUGCUUAAAACAUGCAAGUCGAACGGAAAGGCCCUGCUUUUGUGGGGUGCUCGAGUGGCGAACGGGUGAGUAACACGUGAGUAACCUGCCCUUGACUUUGGGAUAACUUCAGGAAACUGGGGCUAAUACCGGAUAGGAGCUCCUGCUGCAUGGUGGGGGUUGGAAAGUUUCGGCGGUUGGGGAUGGACUCGCGGCUUAUCAGCUUGUUGGUGGGGUAGUGGCUUACCAAGGCUUUGACGGGUAGCCGGCCUGAGAGGGUGACGGGCCACAUUGGGACUGAGAUACGGCCCAGACUCCUACGGGAGGCAGCAGUGGGGAAUAUUGCACAAUGGGCGGAAGCCUGAUGCAGCAACGCCGCGUGCGGGAUGACGGCCUUCGGGUUGUAAACCGCUUUCGCCUGUGACGAAGCGUGAGUGACGGUAAUGGGUAAAGAAGCACCGGCUAACUACGUG
RNAcentral lists this ribosomal RNA (468 nucleotides) under uncultured bacterium. RNAcentral describes it as "partial 16S ribosomal RNA". It matches the Rfam family "Bacterial small subunit ribosomal RNA", at positions 28 to 507 of the family's 1533-position model. The record is from RNAcentral.